RNAcentral lists this ribosomal RNA (793 nucleotides) under marine metagenome. Its description in RNAcentral is "bacterial SSU rRNA". It matches the Rfam family "Bacterial small subunit ribosomal RNA", at positions 476 to 1269 of the family's 1533-position model. The record is from RNAcentral.
UACCCGAAUAAGAAGGUCCGGCUAACUUCGUGCCAGCAGCCGCGGUAAUACGAAGGGACCUAGCGUAGUUCGGAAUUACUGGGCUUAAAGAGUUCGUAGGUGGUUAAAAAAGUUGGUUGUGAAAUCCCGAAGCUUAACUUCGGAACUGCAAUCAAAACUUUUUAGCUAGAGUAUGAUAGAGGAAAGCAGAAUUUCUAGUGUAGAGGUGAAAUUCGUAGAUAUUAGAAAGAAUACCAAUUGCGAAGGCAGCUUUCUGGAUCAUUACUGACGCUGAGGAACGAAAGCAUGGGUAGCGAAGAGGAUUAGAUACCCUCGUAGUCCAUGCCGUAAACGAUGUGUGUUAGACGUUGGAAAUUUAUUUUCAGUGUCGCAGCGAAAGCAGUAAACACACCGCCUGGGGAGUACGACCGCAAGGUUAAAACUCAAAUGAAUUGACGGGGACCCGCACAAGUAGUGGAGCAUGUGGUUUAAUUCGAAGAUACGCGCAGAACCUUACCAACACUUGACAUGUUCGUCGCGGCUCUAAGAGAUUAGAGCUUUCGGUUCGGCCGGACGAAACACAGGUGCUGCAUGGCUGUCGUCAGCUCGUGUCGUGAGAUGUUGGGUUAAGUCCCGCAACGAGCGCAACCCUCACUUUUAGUUGCCAUCAUUUAGUUGGGCACUCUGAAAGAACUGCCAGUGAUAAGCUGGAGGAAGGUGGGGAUGACGUCAAGUCCUCAUGGCCCUUACGUGUUGGGCUACACACGUGCUACAAUGGCAUUUACAAUAGGAAGCAAGAUGGCGACGUCAAGCA